This is a non-coding RNA of 202 nucleotides. It matches the Rfam family "T-box leader". From Rfam's summary of the family: Uncharged tRNA acts as the effector for transcription antitermination of genes in the T-box leader family. T-boxes are found upstream of many aminoacyl-tRNA synthetase genes and some amino acid biosynthetic genes usually in Gram-positive bacteria.
AUAAAUGCGAUGACCAGGAGAGUAGCAAUAGCAGGUAUACAGGGAGAAGAUACCGUGAUUGAGAGUAUCUUCAUACUUAUGCUAUUGCGAAAGACACCUGUGAGCAGACCAGUCGAUAAUGUAGGCUGGCUCCGUGAACCUGCGUUAAGGGAAUGAGUCCAAAUCAGGGUGGCACCACGGGAUUUAACCUCUCGUCCCUGCA